Molecule: ribosomal RNA, 518 nt
Filed under: Escherichia coli O45:H2 str. 2010C-3876
Lineage: Bacteria; Pseudomonadati; Pseudomonadota; Gammaproteobacteria; Enterobacterales; Enterobacteriaceae
Description: bacterial SSU rRNA
Rfam family: Bacterial small subunit ribosomal RNA
Source: RNAcentral
AAUUGAAGAGUUUGAUCAUGGCUCAGAUUGAACGCUGGCGGCAGGCCUAACACAUGCAAGUCGAACGGUAACAGGAAGAAGCUUGCUUCUUUGCUGACGAGUGGCGGACGGGUGAGUAAUGUCUGGGAAACUGCCUGAUGGAGGGGGAUAACUACUGGAAACGGUAGCUAAUACCGCAUAACGUCGCAAGACCAAAGAGGGGGACCUUCGGGCCUCUUGCCAUCGGAUGUGCCCAGAUGGGAUUAGCUAGUAGGUGGGGUAACGGCUCACCAAGGCGACGAUCCCUAGCUGGUCUGAGAGGAUGACCAGCCACACUGGAACUGAGACACGGUCCAGACUCCUACGGGAGGCAGCAGUGGGGAAUAUUGCACAAUGGGCGCAAGCCUGAUGCAGCCAUGCCGCGUGUAUGAAGAAGGCCUUCGGGUUGUAAAGUACUUUCAGCGGGGAGGAAGGGAGUAAAGUUAAUACCUUUACUCAUUGACGUUACCCGCAGAAGAAGCACCGGCUAACUCCGUGCC